UUCUCUAAGAUUACUUACUUAGAGUAUUACCUGCUCAAUGAGAAAUAAAUAGCCGCAGUACUACUGUGCUAAGGUAGCAUAAUAAUUUGCCUUUCAAUUGGAGGAUAGAAUGAACGGUUAAACACUUAAAUCCUCUUUCUUCUAAUCCUAGUUAACCUAAGAAAGAAGUAAAAACUCUUUUACAACAAGGCGGGACGACAAGACCCUGAUAAACUCAAUCAUUUAGUUGGGGAAACAAAAAAAUAAAUAUUUACCUCAAAUAAAACACAAAUCCUUAAAAUAAGAUAAAGACUAGUUACUACAGGGAUAACAGCGCAAUUUCUUUCUAGAGCCCACAUCCAAAAAGAAGAUUACGACCUCGAUGUUGAAUUAACUUACCUAAUUGAAGCAACACUCAGUACAGGCAGUCUGUUCGACUAUUAAACAGUU
Molecule: ribosomal RNA, 429 nt
Filed under: Pholcus sp. 'Sihala' SL63
Lineage: Eukaryota; Metazoa; Arthropoda; Arachnida; Araneae; Pholcidae
Description: Sihala sp. SL63 partial 16S ribosomal RNA
Rfam family: Archaeal large subunit ribosomal RNA
Source: RNAcentral